UAAACGACUCUCGGCAACGGAUAUCUCGGCUCUCGCAUCGAUGAAGAACGUAGCGAAAUACGAUACUUGGUGUGAAUUGCAGAAUCCCGUGAACCAUCGAGUCUUUGAACGCAAGUUGCGCCCGAAGCCAUUAGGCCGAGGGCACGCCUGCCUGGGCGUCACAC
RNAcentral lists this ribosomal RNA (164 nucleotides) under Rubus vatavensis. RNAcentral's name for it is "Rubus sp. MS-2014k 5.8S ribosomal RNA". It matches the Rfam family "5.8S ribosomal RNA". Rfam says of the family: 5.8S ribosomal RNA (5.8S rRNA) is a component of the large subunit of the eukaryotic ribosome. It is transcribed by RNA polymerase I as part of the 45S precursor that also contains 18S and 28S rRNA. Lineage: Eukaryota; Viridiplantae; Streptophyta; Magnoliopsida; Rosales; Rosaceae. The record is from RNAcentral.